GAUGAACGCUGGCGGCGUGCUUAACACAUGCAAGUCGAGCGAAGCGCCUUGAAGUUUUCGGACCAAGAGGUGACUGAGCGGCGGACGGGUGAGUAACGCGUGGGUAACCUGCCUCAUACAGGGGGAUAACAGUUAGAAAUGACUGCUAAUACCGCAUAAGUGCACAGGACCGCAUGGUCCGGUGUGAAAAACUCCGGUGGUAUGAGAUGGACCCGCGUCUGAUUAGCUUGUUGGCGGGGUAACGGCCCACCAAGGCGACGAUCAGUAGCCGACCUGAGAGGGUGACCGGCCACAUUGGGACUGAGACACGGGCCCAAACUCCUACGGGAGGCAGCA
This 336-nucleotide ribosomal RNA is filed under the name uncultured bacterium. RNAcentral's name for it is "bacterial SSU rRNA". It matches the Rfam family "Bacterial small subunit ribosomal RNA", at positions 28 to 353 of the family's 1533-position model. The record is from RNAcentral.